UGUAACACAAUGUCUGACCACUCUAAACAAUUAGCUGAAUUAAAACAAAUUCGCGAUCUUGCGAAAAAGCAAGACGUUUCCGCAUAUUCGGCGGAUGCAGAUACAACAGAUUUGGAUGAGAUUGAAGGUUCUAUUGCCGGCAUGGGAAGUUUUAAAUAUAAACGUCUCAGACGCCAGAAAUUUAAUCUGACCAUAACAACAAGAGAAAAGCGCAACUAGGAUCAACAUUUCUAUGGAAUCUAAAACACAUUAUAAGGCUAUAAGGUUGGGGAAGCCAAGUACCAAUAAACCUCCCCGAUUUACCUCGCAUUGAACUGCUCUACUAUAUUAAUUAUACAUUGCAUUUAAUAGCAUUUGAUUUACAAAAAACAAAACCUGAAAAGACUUAACAUCUAAAUAAAUAAAUUGCAGCAACAGCGAGCGAUAAUCAUAAA
Calliphora vicina (urban bluebottle blowfly) is the source of this 434-nucleotide long non-coding RNA. RefSeq lists it as uncharacterized. Lineage: Eukaryota; Metazoa; Arthropoda; Insecta; Diptera; Calliphoridae. The transcript is spliced from 2 exons. The record is from RefSeq and is a predicted model, not a curated record.